This 5581-nucleotide small RNA is filed under the name Rattus norvegicus (Norway rat). RNAcentral describes it as "SUMO specific peptidase 2, pseudogene 9 (Senp2-ps9)". The record is from RNAcentral. Lineage: Eukaryota; Metazoa; Chordata; Mammalia; Rodentia; Muridae.
UUGUGUUGGGUCGGGGUGGGAUGUGGUUGGGGUGGACACACACUUUCCAUUCCUGUGACACUUGGUUGGCACAAUCUUCCCCAUCAGUGUGAGACCCUGUGAGGCAAAAGACCUCUCACCUGUCCCUACAGCCAUUUCUGACAUUUCCUGCUAACUAGAUAACACAAGAAGGUUUCCACUCCCAGGAUGGAGGGCUCACUCUCCCUAGGACUUUGGGGACCCUUGCUCAUCUCACAGGCCCAAUGAUUUGGGUGGCCCUGCCACCUCCACUCUCUCUUGCCUUUAGACUAAUUGCCAAGUGGAACAGACCCAGAAAACAAAUAGUUUCCACCCACAGACACCCAGGGGAGCAGGCUGGAUGAGUUCACACCCCCCAAAACUUCCACCUGCUCCUCUGUACGAACCCAAUGCUCCAGAGCUCUCUUCUAAAAUAACAUCAAAAGAAUGUACUCCCUUGCUUAACACCCCCAGUUCUAGGUAACAUCUUCAGAGCAUUCCAAAGUGCACAUCUACAGGGGAGUGCAGGGGACACAAAGACUGAACUGCUUGCCUUCCUACCUGGCCUGUUAGCUUGGGUUAAGUUCAAUGUAGGUCAGACAGCAUACCCCUGGGGCACACCGUCCCGUCCCUUUCUCCAGGCCUCUCAAUACUUCCUCAGAAUUUUCCUUCCUUUGGAUCCACUUGUCUGCAGUUCAGGAGUCAGUGCAGGGGCCAAGACUCAGCAGCCUCCCCUAAAGUGAAGCUGACCUUGGGUACCCGCCUUCCCCCACUUCCCAUUUCCUACAAAUCUCCUUAACUUGGUUCCAACCACACCUCACCCCCACCUCAGUCCAAGGCAAGCUCAGAGACACCCUGACUAUUCUGUUCAUAGUCACAUUCCCAGAGCCUGCCACACCUCAGAAGUCAAACAACCACUCACAAAGCAAAGGAAAAAACUACAAUAAAACCAGAACCCAAUUCCCAAAGCUCUGUGAGCCCUGCUUUUUCAGUCUUCAAUAUAGGAGUGCAGAGCUCAGUGUGGAGAACCCAUAGUCCCAGCUCCUUGUGAAGCUGAGGCAGGACGAUCACUGGAGAGAAUAGCCCAGGGAAGAGGGAAGACCUCAUCUUAAAAAGCUAAAUGUUUUCAGCCUAGUACCAGCUUGGUGGGAUAAGGGAGGUGCCCUGUUGACUUGAAUGGAGAGGCAGUAAGACAGUCUUCUAAGGUAACUUUCCAUUAGACCACUGAGGUCACUUAACACAGGAAAAAAUAACACACACUGGGACCCAAACAUGUGCACUGACCUGCUUCCAGUAGGAAAAGGUUGUACCCCUCAUAUCCCAAGUGACUGACUCCCUAGAUAUCUGAAAUGUCUGAGGCUGGUGCUUCCAAGAGUGUGCUCCCGGGCAGUGGUAGGAGGCCAGGGCUAGGAUUUGGACAGGGGGAGGGAAACUGCAAACACAGGCCUGCAUGUGGACUGGUGAAUCCUGACAAAGGCCAGGGAUGCAGUAGACAUUCUGGGACCCCUGACUCCGUUUGAUGGCAGGACCUCUACUCACCACCAUAGGAAGGAAGGAGGCUUGUGUUUGGCCAUCAUCCUAACGUGGUAGGCAGCAGGGUAUGUGUUAAAUUGCUUUGUUUAGGAGAAGGAACUUGGGGUUCCAGAAUGCCUGGGUCGCUCAGUCUGUCUUCCUCAUCUGAGAUGUUGCCAACCUAUUCCCAUAGGCUUAUUUGCAUAGUGUCAUGGUCACUUAACCUGUGUCCUACCCUGGCCCCAACACCAAAACCAGAGAAAUAACACCGGUAAAUAUUAGCCACUUUCAUCUCAUAAUCUGUUCCCUCAUGCUAUUCCUUCUCUGAGACCCUCUGAUCCCUCCUCUCUGUGAUAGGCAGUUGCUGCAGGGACCACCCUACCCCACUGCAUAGUUCUCUGGCCUGGAUACUUAGCUGGAGUUGAAGUUCCCAUGGUUACUACCGGUGCAUAUUUAUUGAACAUGUGGAUGUGCUCAGCACUGUGUGAGGCACUGUCCAUACACCAGGGCUGAGCAGAGGAGUAAGGGUACUAAUAGAGAAGCUGAAGAAGCCAUAGAGGUCAGGCUGCUGGAAAUGCUGGCCCUGAAGCAGAAAGCCCUACCUCCAAGCCUUGCUUCAGUCUGGAGCCACUGACCCAUGCUUUGCCACUGCAGAAAGAACAACAGAGGCUUAGAAUCCCUUCACCUCCAGCCCAGGCCCAUCCUAGGAGGUUCCUGGAUAUGAAGUCAGGCCUCUCCCCUUUGUCAGUGACAAGACAGGCAGACACUUCCAGGAGAGGAAAAGGAAAAGACCCGGAAGUAGCAGCAAUGAGAUGGGCAGGAGGGCAGGCGUUGCACACUAGGGGUGGGGGAGGGUACCAGCACCUUUGAGAUGGAGCGGCCAAGGGCAUGAACCUCGGUGCUGGAUGCUGUUGGCCCCGGAGCUAGAGGGAUGACCUGUGGGAUGACGACUGCAUAGCGACAUGGGCACCUCGAUGCGUUUAAUGAAAGUAAAUAACUAGAGGGGCUUUGUAAAAACUGCCUUUCGGAAGCAGGACAGACGCUUAGCUGCUGAGCCCUGGCAAAUCUUCAGCACCAAACGAAACAAAACACAGCACACGUGCACAGGCCCACUGCCACCACUGGACUGCACUCCCAACACGGUGAGCACUUACAUGGGUGGGCCUCAGUGGCACUAACAGUUAUGAUAGCUUCCUGCCAAUUCUGGGAUUGCGACCCCAAAGCAAAGGUCCCUUCUCAGGUCCUGCCUGGCACCUAGCUGUUUGAUAUGAGGUGGCUGUCAACCCAGGUGGAGAACACCAUCCAUUCAGAUCACUGCGGGUCAGGAGGGCAAACCAGUGAAAUUUGGAAGUCUGAUUAGUGGGUGGACCCCCUUCAGAGACCCACAGGCUGCCUGCCCUGAAGAGAAGCAGGAAAUUCUGCCCAAGUGGAAGGUUUCUGGGGCUCUCCACAAUUGGAAGGCUCUCAUACUGGCUGGAGACUCCAUAGAAGGCACUGGUCAUCGAUGUUGGUGUUGAGGUCUGCCUUCCAGAGACAGAGGAAGGUGUGUUGUCUGCUGGUGUGUCCUAGGGUUCCAAGGACCAGAGAACAGGACUUUCAAAGAAUGGGUCCAGGGGCAGACAAGGAGAGCCAGUAGACUUAAGUUCAUUUUCACCAAUAUGGAUAAUGUGGGAAUUUUACAGGGGUUAUGCAUGUUUAGCAUAGUACUCUUGGUACAUUGUAGGUUCGGAAGGGCCAGUGUCUAAGCAAAGAAAACUGCACACCUAUUGGUUUUGUGCUGGUUGGUAGGAAACAAAAGGGAUAAUUGGAGUGAACUGUCUGUAGGUACCACUUGUGACCCUGUGGCACAAACGUCCAGUGGCUGCAUGCACAUUGAAAUCACCUGUCUCCACCUGAACACCCUUUACCAGUGCUCUCUAGACAAAGCUGGGAAGCAAUUUACUCUAGGGAAGAAACAGUUCACAUUCCAUUAUUAGAAAAGUUACUUGCUUUUGUAACUUUUGCUACAUAUUUUAUUUGUAUCUAAAUGUCUUAGGCAAUCUAAGAACAAAUGUAAAAGUAAAGAUGCAGUAAAAAGGAAUUGCUUGGUGUUCCUGGCCCCCGUGUGUGAACAAAAGCCUUAAACAAAGACAGCUGUAAACAAAGUCCCAUGGGUUAAGCUUCUUUUCUUCUUCUUUUAGCUUUUUGGUUUUUGACUUUUGUAAUUUUCUUUUUUGAUACUUAACAUGUAUGUGCUCUAAAAAAUAAUUAACAUGGAAAUAGAUUGAGAUGUUGCCUUUAAUGUCUUAUGAUAUUUUCAUGACAAUCCAAGCACAAUGUUAAGAACACUUGUAUUAAAGUUCGUGUGAGCAGAAUAAAAAUUUUAUGAAUGGAUUUUUUUCAACUAUCAAAAAAAAGAAAAGAAAAAUGGGGGCAGGACUUGGGUACAGCUCAGUGAAAGAACCUUUGACCUGGAAGGACUAGAAGGAGAGAAGAAAAAAACAAUUGGUUCAUGGCAGGCAUGGGAGAGCCUCUGCUAUCCCCGAAUCCUGGCUCGGUGCCAGUCUUUCUGGUUUGCUUCCAAAACAGUGAGAAUUAAGUUCAUAGCUGCCCACGUGGGUGCAUGUGAAUUAAUUCUUGGUUGCAUAGUGUAUAAAUUACUUUAAGUUUGCUGUAACUAAAUACUGCAGACAGCCUAAGAGAGGAGAGAUUUAUAUCGCCAUCCCAGUCCCUCAUAGCAGGGUAGGCAUGGCAGAAUGAGUCCAUCUAGUACUAAGGAGACAAGAUGGUGGCUGUUCAGAUGGCAUGGGACAGGAAACCAAUGCCACAAGCCCAAACCAGGAGUGUGUAUAACCUUCAAGGACUUGCCCCUAGUCUUAUUGUCAUUGACAAGCCCCAUACCUCUUAAAAGCUCCAUUGCCUACAAAAUAGAGCCACAGGCUGAGGACUGGGAACUCCAUUCACUGCAGACUCAAAACACAUCCCUGGCCCAGAGAGGGUCAUGCGCAUGCAGUCAGAAGUGCCCAGAGUAUAGCCUCUUCUGUGGUAAUCUGAGCUAUGAGCCCUGCAAAAUCAGAAAUGAGGCCACAUAGAUCUAUAAACCUUACACCAUCAGAAAGGAAAACCACACAGUUCCCACCCAUCAUAAAGCCGAGUAGACAUUCCCAUGUCAAAGAGACAGCAGGGGAGAGCAGCAAGAAGAGACCCGGUGCUGGAAAGAGGAAGACUCAGUGGCUAAGAGAACUUGCUGCUCUGACAGAAAACAGGAGUUCAUCUCCCAGCACCCAUGUUAAGCAAGUCAUGCCCUCUUCGGUUCUCUUCCUGCCUCCAUGGGGACCCAUACACACGAGAUCACAUAUACACAGAGGCAUAGCCACAAAACCUUUAAAGAAAAAGGUUGCAACUCUGGAAUGUAAACACAAGAUUCUACAGUUCCAUAUCUGACAUCCAGGGAUAAGGAGAUAUCUGAGGUGCAAGAGUCUAGGCAUUCAAGCCCCCCUGUUCUGCCAUUUGCACUUAUGGCCUCUCCCAUGAGUUGGCUCUGCUGCAUACCUAGAGCUUUCUCUGGUAGACGUCUCACAUCUCAAGCAGUUUCAAUGUCCAGAGGCUUCUACUACAACCUAGACAUCUUCAUGCAUCAGAGAAUCCAACCCUUCCUCACACUGUGCGGCCCCACAGGAUUUUUUUCAAACCCUGACAUCAGCCUGUGACCCUGUAACUUGUGCCUUCCGCAAACACAUAGAUAAUGGUAAGUUCUACUGCUAACUCAAGAGAUAGCUGGGUCCCCACAGACCAUGGCAGAUGUCCUCCAGGUGCGUGUGAUACUGAACUUGGUAAGCAUCUCCAGAAGGUCAACCAUUCGGCUCUUUAGUUUUGGGAGGGAAGUUAUUUGAUGUGCAUGAGUACACCCAUGCCAGAGGAAGCAUGAGAGAGCCAAAGGGCAACUUUUGGGUAUCGGGUACUGGUUCCCUUCUUCUAAUGUGUGAAUCAAUAGGCUUGGAGUCAGGGGCAGAUACCAAGUCAUCUCACUGACACAUUCUUUUGAAUUUCAAUUCAGGAAUUCUUUUACACAUCUGCAUGAGUGUGUGUGUGU